RNAcentral lists this ribosomal RNA (608 nucleotides) under Aspergillus terreus. RNAcentral's name for it is "partial 18S ribosomal RNA". The stretch from base 253 to 406 matches the Rfam family "5.8S ribosomal RNA". Lineage: Eukaryota; Fungi; Ascomycota; Eurotiomycetes; Eurotiales; Aspergillaceae. The record is from RNAcentral.
UUUUGGAUAGAAAAAAGUCGUAACAAGGUUUCGGUAGGUGAACCUGCGGAAGGAUCAUUACCGAGUGGGGGGUCCUCGUGGCCCAACCUCCCACCCGUGACUAUUGUACCUUGUUGCUUGGGCGGGGCCCGCCAGCCCUGCUGGCCCGCCGGGGGGCGUCUCGCCCCCGGGCCCCGUGCCCGCGGGAGACCCCAACAUGAACCCCUGUUCUGAAAGCUUGCAGUCUGAGUGUGAUUCUUUGCAAUCAGUUAAAACUUUCAACAAUGGUUCUCUUGGUUCCGGCAUCGAUGAAGAACGCAGCGAAAUGCGAUAACUAAUGUGAAUUGCAGAAUUCAGUGAAUCAUCGAGUCUUUGAACGCACAUUGCGCCCCCUGGUAUUCCGGGGGGCAUGCCUGUCCGAGCGUCAUUGCUGCCCUCAAGCCCGGCUUGUGUGUUGGGUCCUCGUCCCCCGGCUCCGGGGGACGGGCCCGAAAGGCAGCGGCGGCACCGCGUCCGGUCCUCGAGCGUAUGGGGCUUUGUCUUCCGCUCUGCAGGCCCGGCCGGCGCCCGCCGGCGCAAUUUUUUGCAACCUUUUAUUUUCCAGGUUGACCUCGGAUCAGUGGGUCCAC